This 475-nucleotide ribosomal RNA is filed under the name uncultured bacterium. Its description in RNAcentral is "bacterial SSU rRNA". It matches the Rfam family "Bacterial small subunit ribosomal RNA", at positions 40 to 507 of the family's 1533-position model. The record is from RNAcentral.
CGGCAGGCUUAAUACAUGCAAGUCGAGGGGCAGCGCAGUGUAGCAAUACAUGGGCGGCGACCGGCAAACGGGUGCGGAACACGUACACAACCUUCCUACAAGUGGGGAAUAGCCCAGAGAAAUUUGGAUUAAUACCCCCGUAACAUAGCGAUGUGGCAUCACAUUGCUAUUAUAGCUUCGGCGCUUGUUGAUGGGUGUGCGGCUGAUUAGAUAGUUGGCGGGGUAACGGCCCACCAAGUCUACGAUCAGUAGCUGAUGUGAGAGCAUGAUCCCCCACACUGGUACUGAGACACGGACCAGACUCCUACGGGAGGCAGCAGUGAGGAAUAUUGGACAAUGGGCGCAAGCCUGAUCCAGCCAUGCCGCGUGCAGGAAGAAGCAUCUAUGGUGUGUAAACUGCUUUUGUACGGGAAGAAACACUCCUUCGUGAAGGAGCUUGACGGUACCGUAAGAAUAAGGAUCGGCUAACUCCGUG